This is a long non-coding RNA of Homo sapiens (human), 155 nucleotides long. Ensembl annotates it as cervical cancer associated DHX9 suppressive transcript. Its record names the gene CCDST. Lineage: Eukaryota; Metazoa; Chordata; Mammalia; Primates; Hominidae. The record is from Ensembl.
CUCCUGAUAAGAAGACCACCGACCGUGGACGGAUUCUGGCCAGUUUACAAAGGCUGCAUACGUGAAAUUGAAGGCCAGCUUUUGGAACUCAACCUUCAAAGGAACUUAAAAUUUCCAUUAUGUAGAGUCCCUGAGGAAACUGGAUCCACUAGCUA